RNAcentral lists this ribosomal RNA (450 nucleotides) under uncultured Spirochaetaceae bacterium. Its description in RNAcentral is "bacterial SSU rRNA". It matches the Rfam family "Bacterial small subunit ribosomal RNA", at positions 354 to 796 of the family's 1533-position model. The record is from RNAcentral. Lineage: Bacteria; Pseudomonadati; Spirochaetota; Spirochaetia; Spirochaetales; Spirochaetaceae.
GCUAAGAAUAUUCCGCAAUGGAGGAAACUCUGACGGAGCGACGCCGCGUGGAUGAUGAAGGCCGGAAGGUUGUAAAAUCCUUUUAAGCAAGAAGAAUAAACUUUACAGGGAAUGGUAGAGUGGUGACGGUAUUGCUUGAAUAAGCAACGGCUAAUUACGUGCCAGCAGCCGCGGUAACACGUAAGUUGCGAGCGUUGUUCGGAAUUAUUGGGCGUAAAGGGCAUGUAGGCGGAUAUGCAAGCUUGGUGUGAAAGGCAGGGGCUUAACUCCUGGACUGCGUUGAGAACUGCAUAACUAGAGUAACUGAGGGGCAACCGGAAUUCCAGGUGUAGGGGUGAAAUCUGUAGAUAUCUGGAAGAACACCAAUGGCGAAGGCAGGUUACCAGCAGAUUACUGACGCUGAGGUGCGAAGGUGCGGGGAGCAAACAGGAUUAGAUACCCCAGUAGUCC